UACGUAGGGUGCGAGCGUUAAUCGGAAUUACUGGGCGUAAAGCGUGCGCAGGCGGUUUUGUAAGCCAGAUGUGAAAUCCCCGGGCUCAACCUGGGAAUGGCAUUUGGGACUGCAAGGCUGGAGUGCGGCAGAGGAGACUGGAAUUCCUGGUGUAGCGGUGAAAUGCGCAGAUAUCAGGAGGAACACCGAUGGCGAAGGCAGGUCUCUGGGCCACUACUGACGCUGAGAAGCGAAAGUGUGGGGAGCGAACAGG
This 253-nucleotide ribosomal RNA is filed under the name uncultured bacterium. RNAcentral describes it as "partial 16S ribosomal RNA". It matches the Rfam family "Bacterial small subunit ribosomal RNA", at positions 524 to 776 of the family's 1533-position model. The record is from RNAcentral.